Molecule: long non-coding RNA, 2539 nt
Filed under: Sus scrofa (pig)
Lineage: Eukaryota; Metazoa; Chordata; Mammalia; Artiodactyla; Suidae
Description: lncRNA (ENSSSCG00030009275.1)
Source: RNAcentral
GGAACAUAUUCUGUCUCCAGAGCAGAACUGCCUCUUGUUUUUCUACCUCAGCCAUGACCAGAUCUGUGAGCAAAGAAGCAGAGAAGCAGCGUGUAGAAGUUCCCAGGCCAGGGAACAGCAGCAGCCACAGCAGUGACAACACUGGAUCCUUAACCUUCUGUGCCACAAGGGAAUUCCCAGCGAGCAUUCUGAGAGCCAGCUGUUGAGCGCUGCCCCAGUGGGGCGCUCAAUGGGGAGGAAGAUGGAUCGGGCUGGAUUGGACAUUGAAGCCACGUGCGCAAGGAGUGUGGCCUCCGGCCUGUGUGCAACAGGAAGAAGUCAGCCUGUUGGCGUUUGGCAGAGGCAGACAGGACAGAGAGAAGAAUGGAAGGACAGGACACCAGCAGGAGGCGGUAUAAAAGGAUAAAAGAGCAUUGGCAGACGACCUCCUGGCCCUGGGGGUGGAGCGGUCAUGUCUCUGGACCUGCUUCUUGGGUCCCGGAGGGUCCAAAGAAAUGACUCACCUCUACCACCUCCACCCACCAGUGCAUCUCAGCCGGACACGCAAUUCGCUCCCCCACGCAAAGCAGUAACGGGGGGGCGAGCUUUCCAAAGGUGCUGCCCCAGCUCAGCCUCCCUCCUUGGCACAGAGCUGGCCUGCGAGACCCCCGGUAAAUGACUGUUAGUGGACGAAUUCAUGAACGAACGUAAAACCCCAUCUCUAAGGCAGCCCCGAUUCUCCCCCGCGGCCAGCAUCCAUCUGCGAGGAAUCGGGCGUGUAUGUCUGAGCAGGGACCCCGGCUGGGAGCUGGGAGGGACUUUCUGGCCAGUGUGCAGGACCAGGGAGCAUGCGUCUGGCAGGGCCUCUCAACCACGGCUGGUGGUGGGGGCAGGGACUGGCCAGAAUCAUGGUGUAAAAUUUAAAACACAACCUUGACCCCAAGGAGUAAAGGAGGGGGCUGAGACAGCGGGACCCUCCCAUUGGGGCAGACGGCCCAGGGCCACUCCCAUAGAGGGAUCGAGCAGCGUCUAGGGAGUCCCAUGGGGUCGUCCCCACCCCACCCCAAUACAUCUGGGACCACCCAGGGAGCCAAGGAUGGCUUCUACAAUCCAGAAAUUCCUCAGUUCCCAGACCACUGGGGACCAUCGCCGUCUGCCUCUCCCUCCUCCCAGAGCGAGGACCUCUCUGCUGGCCUCACGGGGCCUUUCCUCGUUGGCAUCUGCUGGGGUGGCCCCUAGUUUUCCAGCCAUGGGGCUUCCAGGGUCUCAGAGGCUCCGCACAGAAACCCCAGCCCAAUUUCCCAGACCGUGCAGUGGUCUUCUCGAGACCCUUGAGCGGGGAGGACACCAUGAGUUUUGGGCUUUGCAGAGCCAUGUUUGAAAAGCCACCACUUAGAGCUAAGCGACCUUGGAGAAGUCAGACUCCCAGGACUGAGGUGUCCUGUCUAUUCAGAGGAGGAGAUGACACCUGCUCCCCUCACCCCCACGCUGACACACCCACCGCAGGGAAGGGAGACAGGCUGGCAGCACCUGACAAAGUGCUCCCCUGUCCCGGCCCCCAGAGCCCCCACCCCACCUGCUCUGUGGCCUGCUGAGCCCACCUUCUCAGCCCCCAACUAGGACCUGGGGCCUGACAAAGGAUUUCUGGGCUCCUGCUUAGAGGUACAAGUGAAGCCAGACUGAGAGCCCCUGACAAACACAUGAACCAAUGCCACCCUGACCCCAGGGGCUGGCCCCCCGGCCUCCCCUGUCCCCGAGCCGUGAUCCUGACACGCGAUCCUGGACACAGCGACGCCAGGGCGCAGCACAGCGUCAGGGCAACAGCAGCCCCUGAAGAGAACCCAGCCCAGCGCCACCGACCCCAGGAGCAAAGUAAUGCCUGGAAGAAUGGCACUGAACACUCAACAGACCCUCCAGGCUCUCAGUUCCACGGAAUCAUGCCAGCUUCCUUGUGAUUUUAUCGGAAAGGUGGGCAGUUUGGCUCCACCGCGACCCACAGGGCAACAUCUUCUGGGUAUCUAUUCUGCUGCAGUGAAAAGGAAGCCCUUCCUUUGGAAAACAGUAAGAAAGGUGGAUAAUUAGCGCACGCUGGUUAAUGGAUCAUUUCAGAGGGGUGAGCCGGGGUCAAGACACCAUUCUGCAUAUAUUUGCAUUGAGCUGAACUUCUUUCCCCUUCUCUUCGGUGAUUUUUUUUUUUUUUUCCUAUUGUAACGUCAUUAGCUUCAUUGAGAUCUAAGGAAAACAAAGAGGGUCCAUGGGAGAAACGGCUUCCGGGGAGGCUGUGGAUGCUGGGCUCCCCCCCGCACCUCCCCAGACAGCCUCCAGGCCGCCAGGGGCCCGGCCUCCGCCUCCGCUGGCUUCUGCCCUCCCUCUGCCAGGCACGCAAGCAGGUGGGCUGUGUGUGCACUUGUCUUCGUUUCAUUUGUUCCCCCUGUUGCAGAGGACAGGAGCCCAGGCGUUCCGGACUGUUAUUCCUAUUGGCUGCUGUCAACCAGGACAGUGGCCUCGGAGUGACCAGCCCAGAGGAAGAAGAGGCUGCGGCAGGCCCUGCCCUCCGGGG